UUAUAAUAUUCACAUACUUUGUUGAAACCGAAACAAGAAAGAUUAAGAAGAUCUAGAGACAUCCGUUUAGGCGCCAAAUAUGCAGAGAUGUGCCGGGAUUUCCUAAAAAUAUAAAAUCAGAAUGGCUGAAAGAGGGGAACUUGAAAUAAUUCAGAAAGGUCAUGACUUGGAUCCUACAUGUACACCUUGCAGAGAUGAAAAUAUGAGAAUUGAGGCGUUUUAUUAUUGUUCUGAGUGCCAAGAGUACCUCUGUACACGCUGUGGAAGACAACAUAGUCGACGAAAAGCUACGAGUGAUCAUGAACUACAAACUGCUAAAGUCUCCACUGACAGGAAGACAUUGACUUCCAGGACUAAAUGCCGUGACCACCCGGACCGUGACAUUGAGAUGUACUGCAGCACGCAUGACAUGGUAUCUUGU
Ruditapes philippinarum (Manila clam) is the source of this 421-nucleotide long non-coding RNA. RefSeq lists it as uncharacterized. The transcript has 3 exons. The record is from RefSeq and is a predicted model, not a curated record. NCBI's taxonomy places the organism in Eukaryota, Metazoa, Mollusca, Bivalvia, Venerida, Veneridae.